Molecule: ribosomal RNA, 407 nt
Filed under: uncultured bacterium
Lineage: Bacteria
Description: partial 16S ribosomal RNA
Rfam family: Bacterial small subunit ribosomal RNA
Source: RNAcentral
AUUGAACGCUAGCGGGAUGCUUUACACAUGCAAGUCGAACGGAGUGGCGGACGGGUGAGUAAUAUAUCGGAACGUGCGCAGUAGCGGGGGAUAACUACCCGAAAGAGUGACUAAUACCGCAUACUAUAGGAUCGGGCGAUAUCGGAUUAGCUAGUUGGUGGGGUAAAGGCUCACAAAGGAAACGCUCCGUAGCUGGUUUGAGAGGACGACCAGCCACACUGGGACUGAGACACGGCCCAGACUCCUACGGGAGGCAGCAGUGGGGAAUUUUGGACAAUGGGGGAAACCCUGAUCCAGCCAUCCCGCGUGUAUGAUGAAGGCCUUCGGGUUGUAAAGUACUUUUGGCAGAGAAGCGGUAUCUGCAGAAUAAGCACCGGCUAACUACGUGCCAGCAGCCGCGGUAAUAC